AAUCAACGCUGGCGGCGUGCCUCAGACAUGCAAGUCGAACGCGAAAUCCCGAGCAAUCGGGAGAGUAGAGUGGCGCACGGGUGAGUAACACGUAGGUAAUCUACCUUCGGAUGGGGAAUAACAACCGGAAACGGUUGCUAAUACCGCAUAAUGCAGCGGCACCUAAUGGUGACAGUUGUUAAAGCGGGGGAUCGAAAGACCUCGCGUCUGAAGAGGAGCCUGCGGCGGAUUAGCUAGUUGGUAAGGUGAUGGCUUACCAAGGCAACGAUCCGUAACCGGCCUGAGAGGGCGGUCGGUCACACUGACACUGACAUACGGGUCAGACUCCUACGGGAGGCAGCAGUCGGGAAUUUUGGGCAAUGGGCGAAAGCCUGACCCAGCAACGCCGCGUGAAGGAUGAAAUCCCUCGGGAU
This 413-nucleotide ribosomal RNA is filed under the name uncultured bacterium. RNAcentral describes it as "bacterial SSU rRNA". It matches the Rfam family "Bacterial small subunit ribosomal RNA", at positions 32 to 424 of the family's 1533-position model. The record is from RNAcentral.